GGCCCGUUGGUCAAGCGGUUAAGACGGAGGCCUCUCACGCCUCAAACAGGAGUUCGACUCUCCUACGGGUCACCA
This 75-nucleotide transfer RNA is filed under the name Clostridiales bacterium. RNAcentral describes it as "tRNA-Glu". It matches the Rfam family "tRNA". Rfam says of the family: Transfer RNA (tRNA) molecules are approximately 80 nucleotides in length. Their secondary structure includes four short double-helical elements and three loops (D, anti-codon, and T loops). Lineage: Bacteria; Bacillati; Bacillota; Clostridia; Eubacteriales. The record is from RNAcentral.